GACGAACGCUGGCGGCGUGCCUAAUACCUGCAAGUCGAACGCAGUGGCGGACGGGUGAGUAAUGCCUAGGAACUGCCUGGUAGUGGGGGAUAACUAUUGGAAACGAUAGCUAAUACCGCAUACUAGUAGAUGGACCUGCGUUGUAUUAGCUAGUAGGUAGGGUAAUGGCCUACCUAGGCAACGAUACAUAGCCGACCUGAGAGGGUGAUCGGCAACACUGGGAAUGAGACACGGCCCAGAGUCCUACGGGAGGCAGCAGUAGGGAAUCUUCGGCAAGGGGGGGAACCCUGACCGAGCAACGCCUCGUGAGUGAAGAAGGUUUUCGGAUCGUAAAGCUCUGUUGUUGGAGAAGCGGUAUCUAACCAGAAAUGGACGGCUAACUACGUGCCAGCAGCCGCGGUAAUUC
RNAcentral lists this ribosomal RNA (406 nucleotides) under uncultured bacterium. RNAcentral's name for it is "partial 16S ribosomal RNA". It matches the Rfam family "Bacterial small subunit ribosomal RNA", at positions 28 to 526 of the family's 1533-position model. The record is from RNAcentral.